CCGAGUGUAGCUCAGUUGGUAGAGCGAUUGACUGUAGUGUUCUAUACUGUGUUUCAGUAUUCUAAUUGGUCGCUGGUUCGAUUCCGGCCACUCGGA
This is a transfer RNA of Phytophthora infestans T30-4, 96 nucleotides long. It matches the Rfam family "tRNA". Rfam says of the family: Transfer RNA (tRNA) molecules are approximately 80 nucleotides in length. Their secondary structure includes four short double-helical elements and three loops (D, anti-codon, and T loops). NCBI's taxonomy places the organism in Eukaryota, Oomycota, Peronosporomycetes, Peronosporales, Peronosporaceae. The record is from Rfam.